RNAcentral lists this ribosomal RNA (250 nucleotides) under uncultured bacterium. RNAcentral's name for it is "partial 16S ribosomal RNA". It matches the Rfam family "Bacterial small subunit ribosomal RNA", at positions 524 to 774 of the family's 1533-position model. The record is from RNAcentral.
UACUGAAGGUGCAAGCGUUAAUCGGAAUUACUGGGCGUAAAGCGCACGUAGGCGACUAGUCAGUCAGAGGUGAAAUCCCAUGGCUCAACCAUGGAACUGCCUUUGAUACUGCUAGUCCAGAGUUCGAGAGAGGUGAGUGGAAUUCCGAGUGUAGAGGUGAAAUUCGUAGAUAUUCGGAGGAACACCAGUGGCGAAGGCGGCUCACUGGCUCGAUACUGACGCUGAGGUGCGAAAGCGUGGGGAGCAAACA